UGGGAGCUAUUACUUUAAUAGAACAUAUUAUCUCUCAGUCACCUAUUCUAAUACUUUAUCAUCAACAUGAUCAUCAUUAUUCAUUAAUGGCAUGCUUUAAGCUACGUUCACAUCAAGCCCGGAUUCCGGUCCGGAGUCCGGAGAAAAAAUCGUGAGAAAUGGCUUCAGUGGUAAAGAAUAGAAGCGUUCACAUCAGAACUGACCGGAUCCGGUACAGAUUUGCUCAGGAGUUCGGAUUCGGAGGAAUGGCUUUGAAAGCCAUCGGAAAAAAAAAAUCGUACGUUUUUUUUAUUCUGACCAAUCAGCAGCAAGCGCCAUUUGACCUCUUGAAAACUUGAUAGCCAAACUUUUUACGCUUGUUGUGGAUGAGCGGAUCGAUCGGCACGAGAAAUGGAACAAGACAAUAAAAUGGAAAACCUAAUUAUCGAGGUGGAGAACAAUCCACUUUUAUAUAAUUUGGCUGAUAAAAGCUACAAAGAUACCAGGAAGAAGUUAGAUGUGUGGGAAGAGAUAGCCCAGAAGGUUGGCAUAGAGUCAGGUGAAAUUGCCUCAAAAAAAUUUCACAACAUCAAAGAUGCCUAUGUGGCGUACUUAAGUAAAUUAAAAGUACGGAGUGGUCAAGGACUACAAGGCAAGAUUCGGAAGUACAAAUGGGCAGAUCAACUGCAGUUCUUAAAUGCCUUUGUGACUACAAGGAGAAGCACUGGAAAUUUGCCAUCUACUGCAGAUGAUAAAUCUAGCACACUACUACUAAACACUAUUCUUGAAGGUGUUGUAAACACUGAAGAUGAUGAUAAUGAAAAUGAUGAAGCGGGUGCAUCAACGGCCAAUAUUGAGCUUGGUGGUAUGUCAUCACAAAUAAAAAGGAAGAAAGUUAAGAAUGAUGAAGUGAAUUCAGCCAUAAUUGACUAUCUUGCCUCCAAAUCUGUGUCUAGUAAUGAGAAGGAUGGAUUAUCAUGUUUCUUUGAGUCAACAUUAAAAACAGUUAGGGCUUUUCCAAAAAUCAAACAAAUUGAAAUUAAAAAAAUUAUCAGCAAUGCUGUUAUAAACAUUGAAGAGGAGCUAGCGCUCAGUGAGGAGUAAGGCAAUACAGGCCCUUGAUGUAUUGCAACACAGAUUAAUUUUGUAAACAGGAAAUCCUCCCUCCUCGAUGAUUUAAACAGCAAAAGCACUGAUAAUUUUUUAAUCACUAUAUUCAAUAGUCCAUUUUACUGUGCACAUUAAUAUUUUGAGUACAUUUAUAUACUUAAAUACAAUACAUAAAAUAGAUAAGGUGUUGUUAUGAAAUAAGUCAAGUUGUAUGCCAGGUCAAAUUGAGAUACUGUAUUCACAAAAUUAUACUGAACUGUUUCUUUUUAAUGAGAUUUUACCGGGUUUAAAAAUUUUAAUAAUUAAUUACACAAUAGCAAACAUUCUGUAAUUACUGUAUAGUAAUUACAUAGUACAUUUAUAUACUGAAAUACAAUACAUAAAAUAGAUAAGGUGUUGUUAUGAAAUAAGUCAAGUUGUAGGCCAGGUCAAAUUGAGAUACUGUAUUCACAAAAUUAUACUGAACUGUUUCUUUUUAAUGAGAAUUUACCGGGUUUAAAAAUUUUAAUAAUUAAUUACACAAUAGCAAACAUUCUGUAAUUAAUGUAUAGGCUUAUCUUGAAACUGGGAUUGAGGCAUAUUUUUAUGGCAGAUUUUUAAAAUGUACCUAAGGAAACAUGCAAGAAG
Molecule: unclassified non-coding RNA, 1716 nt
Filed under: Anneissia japonica
Lineage: Eukaryota; Metazoa; Echinodermata; Crinoidea; Comatulida; Comatulidae
Description: uncharacterized LOC117103647, transcript variant X3
Source: RNAcentral